AGCGAACGCUGGCGGCAGGCUUAACACAUGCAAGUCGAGCGGGCACUUCGGUGCCAGCGGCAGACGGGUGAGUAACACGUGGGAACGUACCCUUUGGUUCGGAAUAACGCUGGGAAACUAGCGCUAAUACCGGAUACGCCCUUUUGGGGAAAGGCUUGCUGCCGAAGGAUCGGCCCGCGUCUGAUUAGCUAGUUGGUGGGGUAAUGGCCUACCAAGGCGACGAUCAGUAGCUGGUCUGAGAGGAUGAUCAGCCACACUGGGACUGAGACACGGCCCAGACUCCUACGGGAGGCAGCAGUGGGGAAUAUUGGACAAUGGGCGCAAGCCUGAUCCAGCCAUGCCGCGUGAGUGAUGAAGGCCUUAGGGUUGUAAAGCUCUUUUGUCCGGGACGAUAAUGACGGUACCGGAAGAAUAAGCCCCGGCUAACUUCGUG
This 433-nucleotide ribosomal RNA is filed under the name uncultured bacterium. RNAcentral's name for it is "partial 16S ribosomal RNA". It matches the Rfam family "Bacterial small subunit ribosomal RNA", at positions 29 to 507 of the family's 1533-position model. The record is from RNAcentral.